Molecule: ribosomal RNA, 301 nt
Filed under: uncultured bacterium
Lineage: Bacteria
Description: partial 16S ribosomal RNA
Rfam family: Bacterial small subunit ribosomal RNA
Source: RNAcentral
CAGUCGCCGCGGGAAUACGAAGGGGGCUAGCGUUGUUCGGAAUUACUGGGCGUAAAGCGCACGUAGGCGGAUACUUAAGUUAGGGGUGAAAUCCCAGGGCUCAACCCUGGAACUGCCUUUAAUACUGGGUAUCUUGAGUUCGAGAGAGGUAAGUGGAAUUCCGAGUGUAGAGGUGAAAUUCGUAGAUAUUCGGAGGAACACCAGUGGCGAAGGCGGCUUACUGGCUCGAUACUGACGCUGAGGUGCGAAAGCGUGGGGAGCAAACAGGAUUAGAUACCCCUGUAGUCCCUGUCUCUUAUAC